AUGGAACCCUAUGUUGGCAUGAGGUUUGACAGCCUUCAAAUUGCUAAGGAUCACUACAACAGCUACGCACUACGGAUGGGUUUCUCUAUCAAGAUGAACACAUCUAGACGGACACCCCGCACCAAUGAAUUGAUAAAACAACAGUUUUGCUGCAACAAGUUCAAGAAGCCCAAAGCUGAUGAUGGAGGAGCUGAGGCUCCUCCUAUCCUGGACCCUAUUCUAGAUCCAAAAUCUGUUUACAGUGAUGAGGAGAUGGAAGAAGAACCUCCAAUAUUUGCUGAAGAGGAGGCUGGUACUAGUAAGAAGAAGAAGAAGCGCAAACGCGAGACAAUAAAGCAGACUCAGUGCAAAGCGAAAAUGUUGGUGAAGCUGAUAGAUGGGCGAUGGGAGGUGACGCACUUUGUUCGUGACCACAAUCAUCCGCUCGUGAACAAACCUUCAUUGUCCAAAUACUUGAGAUCCCACCAAGGCAUCUCACCUGAUGAAAAGGAGUUUCUACGCAUCUUGUAUAACUGCAACUUGACUACAGGCGAUUACAAUCCAAGUACCAUGACGGGCCGUGCUACUACAGGUGAUCGUGAUGGUCCUACUGCCCCGUUGGAGGCUGCAUCCCCUGCACAAGCUUCUGAUGAUUUUGUGCCCAGGGAUCCUCCAAGGUCUACUACAAAGGGUAGGGAAAAGAGUCGACGGUACAAAUCGGCGCUGGAGCUACACCCAAAGAAGAAAAACAAAUGCAGCCAGUGCCAAUCUACAGAGCACACUGCUGGUGUGUGUCCACUCAGGCUACUGUGA
This 792-nucleotide ribosomal RNA is filed under the name Triticum aestivum (bread wheat). Its description in RNAcentral is "partial small subunit ribosomal RNA". Lineage: Eukaryota; Viridiplantae; Streptophyta; Magnoliopsida; Poales; Poaceae. The record is from RNAcentral.